Molecule: unclassified non-coding RNA, 3103 nt
Filed under: Amphibalanus amphitrite
Lineage: Eukaryota; Metazoa; Arthropoda; Thecostraca; Balanomorpha; Balanidae
Description: nADH dehydrogenase [ubiquinone] 1 alpha subcomplex assembly factor 3-like, transcript variant X4
Source: RNAcentral
GCAUAGUGCAGGGGGGCGUGAUUUCACCUAUCUUAUUCAACCUUGCCAUCGAUUCCAUCGCCGACGUGCUACCCCCAGGAGUUUCGUACGCAAUUUAUGCUGACGAUGUCACCAUAUGGGUGCAAGGGCGACGAAUCCCGAAGCUAUUUCGGAAAUUGCAAGAUGCCCUUAACAAUAUUGGUGAGUGGGCUUCAGGCACUGGGUUUACAUUUUCUAGUACCAAGUCUAAUGCGAUCCUUUUCCGACGUGGAUUACGAAGGGUCGACCUAUCAGUGUUCCCUCCUUUGUGCAUCAAUAAUGACCCCAUUCCCAUUGUGGAUGAGGUGAAAUACCUUGGAGUUAUUCUCGACUCCCGAAUGAACUUACAUUCCCAUGUAGAGUAUAUUAAAAGCCGGGUCCAAAAGAGGAUGGCCGUGCUUAAAUGCGUCGCUGCAAAGAGCUAUGGGGCAGACCGAAUCAUAUUGACCCGAAUGUAUAAAGCAAUGAUUCGACCAAUCUUGGAAUACGCUUCAUACAUUAUCGAUGGUCCACACACGCGACGAGUCGAAUCUCUCGAGACUCUUCAGAAUGCAUGUUUGAGAGUUGCAACGGGGGCCUUACGCACCUCUCCUGUUCGAGCAUUGCAGGUUGAUGCCGAUAUUCCCCCGUUAUCUCUCCGUCGCAAAGAGUUACUCCUUCGGUAUUUUCUGAAGGUUUUGAGUGAUGAACACCACCCUUGUCACAGUAUAACAGACUUGACCGCCUCUGAGGAGCUCUACCGAGGAUUAUCAGACCAAUAUCUUCGCAGAAUUUCUGGAUUCACGGUGUGCUUACGCCUCCAGCGCAUGAUUGCCGACUUCGAUUAUGAACCACCGACAGGCCUUGUCAAACCCUCAGCGCCUUUGGCACCGUGGAUUCUGCCGUGUGUCACGACGCGCCUGCUAACUAACCAGGAUAAAGCGAGCCGCUCCACGAUAGACGUGCAGGCCGAGUUUCAGACUCUUAUCAGCGAGUACCCUGGAUAUCGGAUACUGUACACAGAUGGAUCCAAGCGGCAUGAGUCGGUGGCUUGUGCAUUCACCAUUAACAAUGCUUUCUUUUCGUUUAAGUUACCGGAAGGUCUUUCUAUUUAUACAGGCGAACUAGUAGCUAUACUAGAAGCCCUGAAGUUUGUCUGCACCCAUCGCAUUCCACGUUCCUUGAUAUGCACCGAUUCUCAAUCGGCUGUGAAAGCGUUAGGCAUGGCGCACGGCACCACGAGGCACCCGUUACUUACCUCUAUAUUAGAAUUAAACCAUCGCAUUGCCGAGGAUGGAAUGAGGUGCAUUCUUAUAUGGGUACCGGGACAUAGCGGUAUAGCUGGAAAUGUGCGAGCUGACUAUUGGGCCGGGAAAGCACAUGACAAACCAGAGGUUACACCGGUCGCAGUUGGUUAUCGUGAAUAUGUCCCAGAGGUCCGACGGCGCGUUCGAGACCAAUUUGCUACCUUAUGGCAAGAGUUUCGGCCCACUCACCUUAAGACGAUUAAGCCUACCAUAGGAAGGUGGACGUCCGGCGCUCGUGACAGUCGCCAAGAAGAAGUAGUGCUGUGUCGCCUGAGACUUGGCCAUACACUCCUUACGCACUCGCAUGUCAUGGAUCGUGCUCCACCACCGUUAUGUACACCUUGUCGAUGCAUUAUCGAUGUCAAACAUCUCCUAAUUGAUUGCCCUCAAUAUCGCACGACACGCCAACGUUUGCGACGAACAUGUGGAGAUGCUGGUCUCCCGUUCACAAUUGCGACUCUGCUCGGUGAUACAGAACCUAAUGUAUUGGACGCAGUGUUUCUUUUCUUGCGCGAUUGUGAGCUGCUUGACAAACUGUAAAUGCGGCGGGUUCUAUUGAUAUUCCGGAAUUGACAGUACUUCUAACAACUGUGUAAUGUUUGAUUGGCGGCUACUUACUUGCCGCCCCCACUGAUGAUGUUACUUUUGCCUGUUUUUGUGUGGUGAUUCUAGGCUUUGGAAACUUUCUUUCGGUGUGUUUUGAUUACUGAUUCGUCUCUGUGGAGGUCUAAUGUGAACGGUACGGGAGGUCUAAGUGAAACAACAGUGCACUCUGAGCACAUGUCCUCUGUGGUUCGUGUUUUCUAUUCUCUCUUUUAUUUUAGUAUUUGGUAGUAUAUAGCUAGCUCGUAGAGUGGUCUGAAUUUCUCUCGCUCUCUCUUUCUCUGAUUACCUGGUAACACUCUGACUAGAAGAGUAUUGAUCUUUCUUUCAUCAUUUUGUAGAUUGCUGCCCAAUCAAACUAACACUAACACUGCUACUCAGGUCUGUUCCUUCUGGCUUAAUCCUUCCCCGGCAAUUUCCUCCCCUGGCAUUUGUCCUUCCCUAGGUUUUUUCCUUUUCCGGCUACCCACAACCCUGCUUAGUUACCGCUUAGUACCUACCAACCCCGACACUACAUCGUGGAAGAUCGGACAGUUGAAUGCAAGAAACGAAGAAGUUGGACGCUAGGGCCUGACGGCUGCGCGCCCUAACCCACAAAGAAGAAGAAGAAGAAGAAGAGACAAGAACGAAAAGUGAAUAGAAUUCUAUUUUUCGUCAAAUUUCCACCGAAGUUGGAUAGAGGAAGGCGUCUGGCACACUGCUCCACUGUCCUUAAUUGAAAUCGUCUUGCAAAUAUUGCCUUCUCUGAAUGAUUCACUCUCAUUGCUGUUACAUAAUUGGCCAAGGAAGAUUGUCUUGUUUUUUUGUGAUAACUGAUUUUCAGUUAUGAUGCUGAGUAGAUGGAAAUCGUUUUCCUCAUGCAUCUAUGGUGCAGCAAAGCAAAGUGUUUGCAGCUCAGUGAAGACAAGAGGUCUUUCUGUGACACCUCAGAGGCUUGAGUACUCAGAGCACAAUGAAGACCAGAAGACCACAGUCACAUUCCUCAACAGGGAGAUGGGAGACAUGAUCAGUGUGGAUGGAAUCAGCCAGUAUGGAUUUCACCUGAACUCUGGUGUGGUGGUGCUGGGGCCGAUGGCCGUCUUCCCGCGCACGGUGCUCGGUUGGAACGUACCCUCGGCAUCGCACAUCACGCCCGCCUCGCUGGCGCUGUUCGCCAUCCUGGAGCCGCGUCUGGACUGCCUCGUCAUCGGCACAGG